UGGGGAAUUUUUCGCAAUGGGCGCAAGCCUGACGAAGCAACGCCGCGUGGAGGAUGAAGGUCUUCGGAUUGUAAACUCCUGUCGACCGGGACGAAUGCACUCGACCUAAUACGUCGGAAUGUUGACGGUACCGGUGGAGGAAGCCACGGCUAACUCUGUGCCAGCAGCCGCGGUAAUACAGAGGUGGCAAGCGUUGUUCGGAAUUACUGGGCGUAAAGGGCGCGUAGGCGGCCUUAUAAGUCUCGUGUGAAAGCCCUCGGCUUAACUGAGGAUCUGCACGGGAUACUGUAAGGCUCGAGUUCGGGAGAGGAAAGCGGAAUUCCGGGUGUAGCGGUGAAAUGCGUAGAUAUCCGGAGGAACACCAGUGGCGAAGGCGGCUUUCUGGACCGACACUGACGCUGAGGCGCGAAAGCUAGGGGAGCAAACGG
This 428-nucleotide ribosomal RNA is filed under the name uncultured bacterium. RNAcentral describes it as "bacterial SSU rRNA". It matches the Rfam family "Bacterial small subunit ribosomal RNA", at positions 355 to 775 of the family's 1533-position model. The record is from RNAcentral.